RNAcentral lists this long non-coding RNA (7133 nucleotides) under Manihot esculenta (cassava). Its description in RNAcentral is "long non-coding RNA (MESC_LNC007586)". Lineage: Eukaryota; Viridiplantae; Streptophyta; Magnoliopsida; Malpighiales; Euphorbiaceae. The record is from RNAcentral.
GUGAAGUCCAGGCGUGGCCGUAUCGCCCCUGGCAUAAAGCAUUGUUGACUUAUUGUGGUACGAGAUUGAUAUGUAGAGGGCUAUUGGUGACAGAUUCAUCCUUGAGGUGAUUUAUUUGUGAUGUGACGCAUUCCAUGAUAGUAUACGUUAAAAUGAACUGUUUUCUUUUAUGGUUUCUGCUCACUGGGCUUUUUAGCUCACCCCUCUCCCCUAACCCCUGGUUUGCAGGGUCAGAGGUAGUUCAGGAAGAUGACGAGAUAUGGUUAUGGUCAGGACAUGUAAUAGAAUAGUAGUGGACAUGAUGUAAUGUAAGGAUAUGUAUUGAUGUAAAAAGAGAUGUAUUGCAUAAUGAUAUUAUGUUAUAUGAUCAGAGUUAUCGUAUGGUGCUUGGCUCGAGUUGGAUAAUCCCCUUGUACAUGAGUUUUAUUUUAUGUUGUUUCAUGUGAUGGACCGAGUUUGACAUAGGAUAUGCUGACCCUAGGGGUCCUAUGAGUUCAGUCAUAGUGCAUACACAGGUCAAACGGGUUACAGAAAAAGUUUACAGUUUCAUGUUUUAAAGUUUAUGCUUAUGUUUUAUCAUGUUUGGGAUUACCAGCUGUACAGGAUGUAUGUUAGGCUUGCUACGGGUCCCGGCGACCUUAAGUCGAUCUGGAUCCUAGCGCCGGUAGCGGUCCGAUUUCCGGGUCGUUACAGAAUGGUAUCAGAGCCCUAGGUUCACAUGGUCGGACCUAUAGUGUGUCGGGCUCAUAGAGGUUGUAGUAGGGUGAGCACAAUAGGAAGAUCAUGUCCACUAGGAUAGGAUAUGGAGUCCUGUCUUGUAUGAUGAUGUGAAAUGCCAUGAUGAUGAGCAUGUGCAUUAAUGCUAUGUUAUGUAUGUGAUGCAGGUUCAUGUGUUUCCACAUGAACCAUAAGAUGCUAAUGUUUAUGUGCUAUGUUAUGCUUUCAGAAGUCAAGAUGAGAGGAACUCGUCGAUCUGCGAGAUUGACUGGAGCUCCGCCAGAGAAUGAGGGCAUGGAUGCCCAUUCCCCUGCUCUGCAGAGGGCAAGAUCUUGUAGGACGAUCAGGGAAAGUACAUCAAGGGACCCUAUAAGGUCUUUUGAUGCAUGUCGGAGGAAAUCAGUUCAUGAAGGUAUGUCAGCGGAUGUGAUGGAAACAGAGGAGGAUAACCAGAGAAGAGAUAGUAGUUUGGGCAUGAGUAUGUCAGUAGAGGAUAUGCGAGAGUCCCAAGGAGGCACUCAGGCCUCGGGCUUUGUUCCACUACAGUGUCCACCCUACCCGCAAGGGCCAGGGUAUCCGAUGGGAGGUACAUCGGAUUUCUUUAGCCAUAAUCCAUAUCCCACCUUUAUGCCCUAUCCUCCCUUUUACCCACAGUACCCCAUGUUUCCAUCCUCACCCUUUUUCCCAGGUCCAGCAAACCCUAACCCAGGGGAUGCUGCACCUCCUCCUCCACCAGCAGAACCAAUAGUCCCUGAUGUCCGGAUACCCAAACCUGGUUCAUCAGUUGGGGGUAAAGUAAAGAUGACAGAUUACCUCAAGUUGGAUGCCCCCAAGUUCGAAGCAGGCGAUGACCCUUUUGAGUACCUCAGAACGGUGAAGAUGAUAACUGAUGAGCUAGAAGCAAGUGACAGUAGAGCUAUUCAGAUGGCAGGGUUCACAUUGAAAUGCAAGAAGGCAAGGGAAUGGUUCAAAAACUAUGUGGACCCAAGGUUGGAGAGCUUAUCCUGGGAGCAGUUUGCCAAUGAGUUUGCAGGAUGGGCUUUUCCAGAUAGUUCCAGAGAAUUGAAGAUGAUUGAGUUUGAGCAGCUAAGGCAGACGGAAGAGAUGAGCGUAGAGGAGUUUACAGACAGGUUCCUGGAGCUGUUGCCGUUUGCAGGACAAGGUCUUGAUACAGACCUGAAGAAGUCUAGGAGAUAUGUUAUGAAGCUUCACUCCAGGUAUUCCUCGUUGGUUCAAUCAGCAGAAAGGGAGAGUUUCCAUGUUAUAGUGGAUAUGGCACGGAGAAUGGAGGCUAGUGCCAUUGUCCAAGGGACAGUUAAACAGUACAUGACACAGUCUUCGGGUUCCAAACUCCCGAGGACAAGUGAUGUUGAUCUCUCCCCUCUGAACGAGGCUGUCACAAAAAGUAAGAAGGGAGACAGAGGUCUCAGAAGAUCAAAGAAGAACAAGUUCUGGAAUCGGAUAAAGUCUGGUCUGGGAUUAGGAGGUGGCUCGAGCUCAGGCACAGAAGUUGCAGAGUGUACGAGGUGCGGUAGGCCGCACAAGGGAGUCUGUCGGUUUGGGACUACAGCAUGUUACAGAUGCGGCCAGGAGGGGCACAUAGCUCGGGAGUGCCCUAAGGCAGCUUUUAUGACACCGUCCCAUCAGACAACUCCAGGCAGUAUGGCUCAGCCAUCAGCUCCAGUCAUGUUUCAGGGCAGUGGUAGAGGCGGAGAUAGGGGGACAGCCCCUUCUUCAGCAGGUUCCCGUGGGGAAGGUCCAUCAGCUCCAGCGCGGAUCUUCGCCAUGACUCAACAGGAGGCUAACACAUCGAACCCGAUGGGAUCAGGUAAUCUCACUCUGGUAUGUUCUGGUGUGUCUGUUUCAUGAACCCUGAUGUUUCUCUUUUAUUUGUUUGCUUGUGAGCCCUCGUGAGAUUGGGUUGAUAGCUUAUGGGUUAGAGUAUCCCCUUGGGGUCAGUGCACCCAAGUGUGAUCCAUCUGUGGCAGAGUCAGUCUGCCGGUUUAGUCAGAGUAUGUGUUGUGAGUAGAUGCCUUCCAGCUGACCUAGCGGUUCUAGAUUUGACUGUUUGACGUCAUUCUAGGGUUGGAUUGGUUCUUCUACUAGUGGUACUACCUAGUCUGCAGAGACAAGGUAGUCAGGUUCCGAGGUAAGGAUGGAUCAGAGGUAGUCCUUAGAGGGGACAGAAUAGGGAUACCUAGAGGUUCAGUAUCAACCCUAUAGGCUCGUAGGUUGUUCAGGAAAAGUUGUCAGGGGUUCUAGCUCUUCAGAGAGAGUAUAGCAGUCAGGUCAGGGAGCCCGCCUCAGUGCCCAUUGUUAGAGAGUUUUAGAUGUUUCCCCAGACGAGUUCCCAGGACUACCACCUGUCAGGGAGAUAGAGUUCAAAAUAGAAGUAAUGCAUGGAAUUGGACCAACCUCUAUCCCUCCCCACAGGAUGGUAUCAACAAGGUUUAAAGAGAUGUAAGAGCAAUGGUAUAAGUUGGUAGUUAAGGGUUCCCAUCUGACUGAGCACUUCGCCUUGGGGUGUUCCAGUGUUGUUAUGAGGAUGAAGGAUGGAUCCCUAGGACUUUGUAUCGACUACAAGUCGUUGAGCAAGGUCACUACCCAGAAUAAGUGUUUGUUACCUUGGAUCGACGAUCUAUUUUAAGCCAGCUAGCAGGAGCUAGUUGCCUUUCCAAGAUAGAUCUGAAGUCUAGGUACCAUCAGUUAAGAUCAAGGAAGAAGAUGUACUGAGAACAGUGUUUAGAACCAGAUAUGGGCACUAUGAGUUCCUAGGAAUGUCGUUCGGGUUAAUAAACGCCCCUACAUCAUUCGUGGAUCUCAUAAGCAGAGUUUUAGUCGGUUUCUGGAUCACUCCGUUAUUGUCUUCAUUGACGGUACCUCGGUGAGUUCCAGAAAUGCAGAAGAGUAUGCCCAUCAUCUGAAAUCAGGAUUGCAAAUCCUGAGAGAACAUGGCUUGGAUGCCUAGUUCUCCAAUGUGAGUUCUGGUCGAGGAGCAUAUCCUUCUUGGGUCAUAUGUGUCGGAGAAAGGAAAGUGAAGUAGACCUGAGAAAGUUGAAGUUGUAGCCGACUAGCCCAGGCCCAUGGUAAUGACAAAGAUUAAGAACUUUUGGGUUGGGCAGGUUACCUAAUGGAGGUUCAUCUAGAACUUCUCUAGAGUUGCCGCUCCUAUGGCCAGAUGGAUCAAGAAGAACCAAAGGGUGUGUGGUCUACUUAGAGUGAAGAUGGCUUUGAAAAGCCAAAGGAAAUGUUGAUGUCAGCACCAGUGGUGGCUCUGUCCGCCAGUGAUGGAGAUUUCACAGUGUCCUGUGAUGCGUCCCGUGAGGGACUAGGUUGUGUGUUAAUGUAAAGUGGUAGAAUGAUUGCUUAUGCUUCUAGGUAGCUGAAGAAGCAUGAGUUGAAUCAUAUUACACACGAUCCAGAGAUGGCAAUGGUAAUACUUGCACUCAAGAUGUGGAAGCGAUACCUGUAUAAGGUAUGAGGACAGAUCCUUACAGAUCGAAAGAGCUUGCAAUACAUCUUGAGUCAAGGGAGAAGAACAUGAGGUAUAGGAGAUGGGUAAAAAACUGCGUGGUAUUCGCGACUUCAAGGUUCGGUAUAUUCGGCUGAGGCAAAUAUUUCGAUAGAUGCCCUCAACCGGAAACCACUUGGCAACUUACCCCAUCCCUUAGUACAGUAAGAAGAAAGCCAAUAGUCAGAAGAUGAGAAGAAUCAGAACUGCUGUGAGUCAGCAGGAGAGUAUGAAGUCGUCCGCAAGAGGCAUGUAGAGUUUCAGAAGAGAAGAAGAGUUUUUGUCAGAGUGCACGGCGGAAGCAUGUUGAGGUUCUCGAGGAAGUCGAGGUUUGCUGGAGGUGUCUCCUAAAGAGAGGGUGAUUCGCUAUGGGCGGAAAGGUAAAUUAGCUCUCAGAUACAUUGGACCCUUUGAAAUCCUGCAAAGGAUUUGGGAAUGCAUCCCACGAGUUAGAUUUACCCACUUCAAUGGAAGAGAUCCAUUCGUUUUUUUUCAUGUUUCCACGAUAUAUGAGUUCGUGUCGGGUCCGAGUGAGGUUCUUAAAGGAACCAGAGGUGGGGACCGUAGAGGAUCUCACCUAUGUUGAGCAGCUAGUACGGACCGCAGACACACAAGUCAGAAAGUGUGGAAACAAGGAAAUCUCGAUGGUGAAAGCCCCUUAGAAUCACCUUAAGAUGAAAAGUUCACCGGGGAGACCGAGAGUUUUUACUCCAGCAAUGACCGUGUCUCUCUUUUAGAAGAGAGGUUUUUAGGUUUUGCUUGCUUGUUGCUUGCUUGCUGAUGUAUGCUUGAUGCAUGUUUGUUUGUUUGAACAUUCGAGGACGGAUGUUCUUAAAGGGGGGAAGAAUGUAAUACCUGGCUAGAUUCCGGCAUCGGAAUCCCUACCUUCCGGCGGAAUCUCCGUUGGAAUAUGGAAUUUUGAUGAUGCCAGAGUCUUCUAGAGGGGUAAAAUGUGAUUUCUAAAAUGAUUUUUACUGAUUUCAUGGUUUUAAAUGAAAAAGAUUUGAGUUUUGAAAAGGAAAAGACCAAGGAGGUUUUUGCCNNNNNNNNNNNNNNNNNNNNNNNNNNNNNNNNNNNNNNNNNNNNNNNNNNNNNNNNNNNNNNNNNNNNNNNNNNNNNNNNNNNNNNNNNNNNNNNNNNNNNNNNNNNNNNNNNNNNNNNNNNNNNNNNNNNNNNNNNNNNNNNNNNNNNNNNNNCUGGCCACCUAUAAAAGCCCCUCAGACCGAAAAUGGGCGAGAUUUCUCCCCAUUCUCGAGCUCAGGUGUGUUCAUGUCCUCCUUUGGUCAUUUUCAUGUUUUCUCUUCAUCUCCUUCAUAUUUUUAUGAGUUCCAUGGUUGUUUUGAAGAGUUUUCAAGCUUAGAUCAAAGUUUUGGGAGCUUGUAGACCCAAGGAGUAGUUUCCUCCCAUCUCCAAGUUAGAGCUCGCACAAACCCUCGAUCUUCAAGAGGUAAGUGUUGAUCUAUGCUUUUCUUUACGUUUCAUGAAGUUUUAAGUGAGUUUUAAGAGGUUUUGAUGGUUGAGCAUGGGUAGAUAUGCAUGUUAGGGUUUAUGUGGGUUUUAUGCCUAAUGUAUGAUAAUGUAUGAUAAUGUAUGUUUGUGUUGGGGUUUAGGUCAGUUUUCAAGCCCCUUGAGCAUAUGGGAGAGAGUAUGCAUGAUUGGGAAAGAGUAUGUGAGGUUUGGUUUGUUUUGAUGGUUUUGGCCUAUGUGGGUCAUAAACUAUCUAUGUAUGCUUUAGAUGUUGUUUUUGGGGAGUUUAAGCUUGUUUGAGCUCCUUUGUGCAUGGUUAAGGAUGUAUGCAUGUGUUUGAGGAGUUGGAUGCUUGUUUUGGGGUGUAUGGAAGGUUUGGGAGGCUUGAAAUGCACAAAGGCUGAGUUCUGGAUGAACUCAGGUUCGGCCGCCGAAGGUGGUUUCGGUCGCCGAACCUGCCUGAGGAUGCAGGGAUUGGCCGCCUAACCUUGCCCCCGAAAGUUGAGUUUUGGCUUGAAACAGACUUUCGGCCGCCGAAGGUAAUGUUCGGCCGCCGAAAGUGCCUGACUUUCGUCUCUGGAGAGAGAGUUCGGCCGCCGAAGGUGCCGCCGAACCUGCCUGACUUUCGUCUCUGGAAGGGACCUUCGGCCGCCGAAAGUGCCCUGUCCAGCCGUUUCAUGAGUGUUUUCUAUGCAUGUUUAAGUGAUGCUUUAGGGGGUUUUUGGGUAGUUGUUUAUGAGUUGUUUAGAGUAUGUUUGGCACCUCACUGGAGUCCACCUAUGUAGGAUCGGACCCGAGGAACCAAGGUGUUUAGCAGUGUUAGCUGCUUCAGAGUUAGUAGCCAGAGGUGAGUGGAACUAACCCUUAUGUUUUAAAUCAAAUGUUUUCAGCAUGUUCAAGCAUGUUCAUGCAUCAUGAAUACCAUGUUAUGCAAUAGGUUGUUUGCAUUAGAAUUCACGAAUAUGAUGCAUUGCAUAAUACGAUGAUGAUGAUGUGGAUGGAUACUGGAUGAUCCUCUAGCCCUCGGUAUGUUAUGACAUGAUAUAAAUUGAUAUGAUAUGGCAUGUAUGAUAUGAUAUGAGAUGAGAAGCCCAGGCAUGGCCGUAUCGCCCCUGGCAUAUAGUAUGAGAAGUCCAGGUGUGGCCGUAUCGCCCCUGGCAUAAAGCAUUGUUGACUUGUUGUGGUACGAGAUUGAUAUGUAGAGGGCUAUUGGUGACAGAUUCAUCCUUAAGGUGAUUUAUUUGUGAUGUGACGCAUUCAUGAUAGCAUACGUUAAAAUGAGCUGUUUUCUUUUAUGGUUUCUGCUCACUGGGCUUUUUAGCUCACCCCUCUCCCCUAACCCCAGGUUUGCAGGGUCAGAGGUAGUUCAGGAAGAUGACGAGAUAUGGUUAUGGUCAGGACAUGUAAUAGAAUAGUAGUGGACAUGAUGUAAUGUAAG